GGAGCAAGAUACUGAUGCACAGACACAGCUGAGACAGAACAGGAUGGAGACAAGUGUGUUCAUUGGAAGCUCAGAGGACCCCACUGUCCCCUACAGCUCAUCUGGACCCAACAGCUCCCAGCCAUCCUACAUGAAGCACUAUAUCCUGGUCGUACUGGUGGUGCUGGCCACAGCUGGGAUCUCUGCUGGCAUAACCUUCUACUGCACCCAGAAGCAAGAAUGCACUGAUGAGAAGACUGGCUUGCAGAUGACUGGAAGCAAAGUUUCUACUGGAUGCAACAACCACACCACAAGUAAAUGGAAAAGAAACAUUAUACAUAAACACCAAGGCGUUUAUGAGGUUUUCACUGUGCCAAAAGAUGGGAAUUACUUCAUCCAUGGCCUAAUUUGGAAGUCAGAAGAGAAGCAAAAAUACCCGCCAAAUGAUUUUGUCUGGCUUUUGAAGAAAUUGAGAAGCGAUGAUGAAAUUGCUAACACAACAUUCUGUGGCAACCGUGCUUCUUUUGCCUGUGAAUUACAGAAUAUGAAGAAAACCACAAAGAUACAUGUUAAAAUUAACACGGGGAAGCCUAAUCUAGAAAAGACCGUGUUUCACAUUUAUGAACUUUAAAGGGACAAGGGAUUUUGUUCCACGAUUUCAAACUUGGGCUGGGGCAUCUGUGGACUUCAGAAGAGGGGCAACAGGUAUUCUACACCCUAGUAGCUCACCUGGCACAGAAUCAUGCUCCACAUUGUGACUGUAACUGAAUGUGAACGUGAUACUGAACGUGAAUGUAACUGGUGCAAAAACAGCCUGCAUGGUCUGGUGUACUCUGUACCUCUGUGCACAAUGCAGACACACUACCGUGUGCACACGGAGACUGAAUAUGGGCAACAUUAAUCUCUUCACUGACAAGAGUAUGGAAUCAUGUUGUUCAUGUUAAAAUCUUAAAAACUUAUACAGAGCGGAGGGUCCCUAAUGUGAUCAAUUUAAUAUCAAUUUAUUUCUCUAAUAUGCGAUCCUGACAAUACCCAAACCAAUGUGAAAGUCAUUAGAAUAAAUUUAAAGAGGGUACUUUGUGAUUUGUAUUUGUUAUGUACACACACUGAUUGGACGUAAAUUGAAUAAUAAAAAAUAAUCAAAAGGCAAAUGUAAUUUCAUACAUGUAUGCCUUUAAGAGGGCUUCACAUAUAUUGUUAAGAUAAGAGUAAUAUAUCUUGAGUGUCACUGUAUUUAAUACAUGCCACACACACACACACACACACACAGGGCUACAGUGCACAUGGGUAACAGACACAUUAAGACACAAUAAGUGGUGCCUUAGGGGUAUCUGUGAGUGUGUUACCAUCCAGGAUGUUAUAAUGCAAUCUUAUCAUUUUAUAUGAGCCCCUGUGUUACAUACUGCUCACAAAACAAAAAUAAAAAAUUUAAA
Anguilla anguilla (European eel) is the source of this 1412-nucleotide long non-coding RNA. RefSeq lists it as uncharacterized. The record is from RefSeq and is a predicted model, not a curated record. The transcript has 3 exons. Lineage: Eukaryota; Metazoa; Chordata; Actinopteri; Anguilliformes; Anguillidae.